AAAAUCCGUCGACUUUAGAAAUCGUGAGGGUUCAAGUCCCUCUAUCCCCCCAAAAAGACCGAUUUGACUAUUUCUCCUACCCUCUCUUUUUUUUAGUGAUUCAAAAUUCGUUCUCUUUCUCAUUCAUUCUACCUUUUUACAAACGUAUCAGAGCAGAAUUUUUUUUUUAUCACAAUCACAAGUGGUGUGGUAUAUAUGAUAUACGUACAAAUGAACAUCUUUGAACAAAGAAUCCCGAUUCACAAUUCAUAUCAUUGCUCAUACUGAAACUUAUAAAUUAUUCUAUUCAAGAAAUCGAAUUCCACGCUCAAGACUUUUAAUACUUUUUUAAUUGACAUAGACCCCAGUCAUCUAGUAAAAUGAGGAUGAUGCGCCGGUAAUGGUCGGGAUAGCUCAGCUGGUAGAGCAGAGGACUGAAAAUCCU
Molecule: transfer RNA, 424 nt
Filed under: Acer pictum subsp. mono
Lineage: Eukaryota; Viridiplantae; Streptophyta; Magnoliopsida; Sapindales; Sapindaceae
Description: partial transfer RNA-Leu
Rfam family: tRNA (bases 383-424)
Source: RNAcentral